CUGAUGCAGCCAUGCCGCGUGUGUGAAGAAGGCCUUAGGGUUGUAAAGCACUUCAGUAAGGAGGAAAGGUUAGUAGUUAAUACCUGCUAGCUGUGACGUUACUUACAGAAGAAGCACCGGCUAACUCCGUGCCAGCAGCCGCGGUAAUACGGAGGGUGCGAGCGUUAAUCGGAAUUACUGGGCGUAAAGCGUACGCAGGCGGUUUGUUAAGCGAGAUGUGAAAGCCCCGGGCUCAACCUGGGAACUGCAUUUCGAACUGGCAAACUAGAGUAUGAUAGAGGGUGGUAGAAUUUCAGGUGUAGCGGUGAAAUGCGUAGAUAUCUGAAGGAAUACCGAUGGCGAAGGCAGCCACCUGGGUCAAUACUGACGCUCAUGUACGAAAGCGUGGGGAGCAAACGGGAUUAGAUACCCCGGUAGUCCACGCCGUAAACGAUGUCUACUGCUGGGGUCUUCGGACAACUUUUCCAAAGCUAACGCAUUAAGUAGACCGCCUGGG
This 496-nucleotide ribosomal RNA is filed under the name Pseudoalteromonas sp. 2S23. Its description in RNAcentral is "bacterial SSU rRNA". It matches the Rfam family "Bacterial small subunit ribosomal RNA", at positions 383 to 877 of the family's 1533-position model. Lineage: Bacteria; Pseudomonadati; Pseudomonadota; Gammaproteobacteria; Alteromonadales; Pseudoalteromonadaceae. The record is from RNAcentral.